GCUCCGGUGGCAUAGUUGUUGGAGCGUCCGCCUCGGAUACGGAAGAUCUCGGGUUCGAACCCCGGCCGAGUCA
Non-coding RNA from Potamilus streckersoni, 73 nucleotides. Lineage: Eukaryota; Metazoa; Mollusca; Bivalvia; Unionida; Unionidae. The record is from the annotation of a GenBank genome assembly.